UGGGUGGUACCAUCCCUAGGCUGGUAGUC
RNAcentral lists this non-coding RNA (29 nucleotides) under Rattus norvegicus (Norway rat). The record is from RNAcentral. Lineage: Eukaryota; Metazoa; Chordata; Mammalia; Rodentia; Muridae.